This 79-nucleotide non-coding RNA is filed under the name bovine gut metagenome. Its description in RNAcentral is "Cyclic di-GMP-I riboswitch". It matches the Rfam family "c-di-GMP-I riboswitch aptamer", at positions 6 to 83 of the family's 87-position model. Rfam says of the family: GEMM was predicted in a large-scale screen for bacterial structured RNA regulatory elements. Genes associated with GEMM are involved in a diverse array of functions, including chemotaxis regulation, signal transduction, secretion and chitin. The record is from RNAcentral.
AAAAAAGGCAAAACUGUCGAAAGGCAGUGACGCAAAGCGAAGAGCCUACGGUGUUUUCACACUAUGGUAGUCUGGUUGC